AAUUCUCUGAGAUGUUUGCAAGCGGGCCAGUCCCCUGAGCCGAUAUUUCAUACCACAAGAAUGUGGCGCUCCACGGUUGGUGAGCAUGCUCGGUUCGUCCGAGAAGCCUUAAAACUGUGACGACACAUUCACCUUGAACCAAGGGUUCAAGGGUUACAGCCUGCGGCGGCAUCUCGGAGAUUCC
Molecule: non-coding RNA, 184 nt
Filed under: Pseudenterobacter timonensis
Lineage: Bacteria; Pseudomonadati; Pseudomonadota; Gammaproteobacteria; Enterobacterales; Enterobacteriaceae
Description: 6S RNA
Rfam family: 6S / SsrS RNA
About the family: E. coli 6S RNA was the first non coding RNA to be sequenced, but its function was unknown until recently.
Source: RNAcentral